GGAUGUGAGGGCAAUCUGGCUGUGACAUAUGUCAGCCCACUGAUUGCCAGGGUUCAUUCAGCUGACCUGGCUGGGUAGGUAGAUGAACCCUUUCUCCCUCAUUGCUUCAUGUGCAUCCCUCCCAAAGCUGCACACUCAGUCAAAGAGAAUGACCUUUCCCAAUAGAGAAGGAUUGUCUUUGGUCAAGGAUAUAUGAGUAGCUGGUCAUCCCCUGCUAGAACCUUCAAACAAGCUCUCAAGGUCAAUUUGUAGGAGAAUAUAGGGUAGUUAAACUUCCAAGACACACACCCGAAUGAGGUGCUGCAUGUACCAGUCUGCCUUUCUUU
Molecule: small nuclear RNA, 326 nt
Filed under: Canis lupus familiaris (dog)
Lineage: Eukaryota; Metazoa; Chordata; Mammalia; Carnivora; Canidae
Also listed under: 1 other name
Description: 7SK RNA
Rfam family: 7SK RNA
About the family: 7SK was discovered as an abundant small nuclear RNA in the mid-70s but a possible function has only recently been suggested. Two independent studies have found that 7SK RNA binds the CDK9/cyclin T complex (known as elongation factor P-TEFb). P-TEFb activates transcription by phosphorylating the C-terminal domain of RNA polymerase II.
Source: Rfam by way of RNAcentral